Molecule: small nuclear RNA, 23 nt
Filed under: Arabidopsis thaliana (thale cress)
Lineage: Eukaryota; Viridiplantae; Streptophyta; Magnoliopsida; Brassicales; Brassicaceae
Description: snRNA_06483
Source: RNAcentral
AUCAUACACAUGACAACUACUCA